UACGGGGGGGGCAAGCGUUGUUCGGAAUUACUGGGCGUAAAGGGCUCGUAGGUGGCCAACUAAGUCAGACGUGAAAUCCCUCGGCUUAACCGGGGAACUGCGUCUGAUACUGGAUGGCUUGAGUUUGGGAGAGGGACGCGGAAUUCCAGGUGUAGCGGUGAAAUGCGUAGAUAUCUGGAGGAACACCGGUGGCGAAGGCGGAUCUCUGGGCCGAUACUGACGCUGAGGAGCGAAAGCGUGGGGAGCGAACAGG
RNAcentral lists this ribosomal RNA (253 nucleotides) under uncultured bacterium. RNAcentral's name for it is "partial 16S ribosomal RNA". It matches the Rfam family "Bacterial small subunit ribosomal RNA", at positions 524 to 776 of the family's 1533-position model. The record is from RNAcentral.